UGGGGAAUCUUGCGCAAUGGGCGAAAGCCUGACGCAGCCAUGCCGCGUGGAUGAUGAAGGUCUUAGGAUUGUAAAAUCCUUUCACCGGUGAAGAUAAUGACUGUAGCCGGAGAAGAAGCCCCGGCUAACUUCGUGCCAGCAGCCGCGGUAAUACGAAGGGGGCUAGCGUUGCUCGGAAUUACUGGGCGUAAAGGGAGCGUAGGCGGACAUUUAAGUCAGGGGUGAAAUCCCAGAGCUCAACUCUGGAACUGCCUUUGAUACUGGGUGUCUUGAGUGUGAUAGAGGUAUGUGGAACUCCGAGUGUAGAGGUGAAAUUCGUAGAUAUUCGGAAGAACACCAGUGGCGAAGGCGACAUACUGGAUCAUUACUGACGCUGAGGCUCGAAAGCGUGGGGAGCAAACAGGAUUAGAUACCCACGUAGUCCCUGAGCGGGC
This 434-nucleotide ribosomal RNA is filed under the name uncultured bacterium. RNAcentral's name for it is "bacterial SSU rRNA". It matches the Rfam family "Bacterial small subunit ribosomal RNA", at positions 355 to 804 of the family's 1533-position model. The record is from RNAcentral.